This 216-nucleotide ribosomal RNA is filed under the name Glomeromycotina sp. RNAcentral describes it as "partial small subunit ribosomal RNA". The stretch from base 40 to 216 matches the Rfam family "Eukaryotic small subunit ribosomal RNA", at positions 686 to 864 of the family's 1831-position model. The record is from RNAcentral. Lineage: Eukaryota; Fungi; Glomeromycota.
GGGUCAGUAGGUUGGUCGUGCUACCGUUACGUACUGGCCUCACUGAUUCCUCCUUCCUGAAGAACCGUAAUGCCAUUAAUUUGGUGUUGCGGGGAAACAGGACUGUUACUUUGAAAAAAUUAGAGUGUUUAAAGCAAGCUAACGCUUGAAUACAUUAGCAUGGAAUAAUGAAAUAGGACGAUCGAUCCUAUUUUGUUGGUUUCUAGGAUUGACGUA